UGGUGACCAUAGCUGAGUGGAACCACCCGAUCCCAUCCCGAACUCGGAAGUGAAACGCUCACACGCCGAUGGUAGUGUGGCACCGUCCAUGCAAGAGUAGGUCAUCGC
RNAcentral lists this ribosomal RNA (108 nucleotides) under Lysobacteraceae bacterium. Lineage: Bacteria; Pseudomonadati; Pseudomonadota; Gammaproteobacteria; Lysobacterales; Lysobacteraceae. The record is from RNAcentral.